Molecule: ribosomal RNA, 400 nt
Filed under: uncultured bacterium
Lineage: Bacteria
Description: partial 16S ribosomal RNA
Rfam family: Archaeal small subunit ribosomal RNA
Source: RNAcentral
ACACCGGCAGCUCUAGUGGUAGCUGUUUUUAUUGGGCCUAAAGCGUUCGUAGCCGGUUUGGUCAGUCGCUGGUGAAAUCCUGUAGCUUAACUGUGGGAAUUGCUGGUGAUACUGUUGACCUUGAGGUCGGGAGAGGUUAGAGGUACUCCCAGGGUAGAGGUGAAAUUCUGUAAUCCUGGGAGGACCACCUGUGGCGAAGGGGGCUAACUGGGACGAACCUGACGGUGAAGGACGAAAGCUAGGGGCGCGAACCGGAUUAGAUACCCGGGUGGUCCUAACCGUAAACGAUGCGGACUUGGUGUUGGGAUGGCUUUGAGCCGCUUCGUUGCCGAAGGGAAGCUGUUAAGUCCGCCGCCUGGGAAGUACGGUCGAAAGACUGAAACUCAAAUGAAUUGGCGGG